This 99-nucleotide transfer RNA is filed under the name uncultured marine thaumarchaeote KM3_04_D06. RNAcentral's name for it is "tRNA-Ser". It matches the Rfam family "tRNA". Rfam says of the family: Transfer RNA (tRNA) molecules are approximately 80 nucleotides in length. Their secondary structure includes four short double-helical elements and three loops (D, anti-codon, and T loops). Lineage: Archaea; Thermoproteati; Nitrososphaerota. RNAcentral also lists the same sequence under 1 other name. The record is from RNAcentral.
GUCGGGAUAGCCAAGCUUGGUUAAGGCGGACGCCUCGAAAUCUCAUUACAGGAUAGCGUCUGUGCAUCGCACGCGGGGGUUCAAAUCCCUCUCCCGGCG